RNAcentral lists this ribosomal RNA (465 nucleotides) under uncultured bacterium. RNAcentral describes it as "partial 16S ribosomal RNA". It matches the Rfam family "Bacterial small subunit ribosomal RNA", at positions 28 to 505 of the family's 1533-position model. The record is from RNAcentral.
GACGAACGCUGGCGGCGUGCUUAACACAUGCAAGUCGAACGGAAAGGCCUCUUUCGGGGGGUACUCGAGUGGCGAACGGGUGAGUAACACGUGAGUAACCUGCCCUUGACUUUGGGAUAACUUCAGGAAACUGGGGCUAAUACCGGAUAGGAGCUCCUGCUGCAUGGUGGGGGUUGGAAAGUUUCGGCGGUUGGGGAUGGACUCGCGGCUUAUCAGCUUGUUGGUGGGGUAGUGGCUUACCAAGGCUUUGACGGGUAGCCGGCCUGAGAGGGUGACCGGCCACAUUGGGAAUGAGAUACGGCCCAGACUCCUACGGGAGGCAGCAGUGGGGAAUAUUGCACAAUGGGUGGAAGCCUGAUGCAGCAACGCCGUGUGCGGGAUGACGGCCUUCGGGUUGUAAACCGCUUUCGCUCAUGACGAAGCUUUGUGUGACGGUAGUGGGUAAAGAAGCACCGGCUAACUACG